ACGGGUGAGUAAUGCCUAGGAAUCUGCCUGGUAGUGGGGGACAACGUUUCGAAAGGAACGCUAAUACCGCAUACGUCCUACGGGAGAAAGCAGGGGACCUUCGGGCCUUGCGCUAUCAGAUGAGCCUAGGUCGGAUUAGCUAGUUGGUGAGGUAAUGGCUCACCAAGGCGACGAUCCGUAACUGGUCUGAGAGGAUGAUCAGUCACACUGGAACUGAGACACGGUCCAGACUCCUACGGGAGGCAGCAGUGGGGAAUAUUGGACAAUGGGCGAAAGCCUGAUCCAGCCAUGCCGCGUGUGUGAAGAAGGUCUUCGGAUUGUAAAGCACUUUAAGUUGGGAGGAAGGGUUGUAGAUUAAUACUCUGCAAUUUUGACGUUACCGACAGAAUAAGCACCGGCUAACUCUGUGCCAGCAGCCGCGGUAAUACAGAGGGUGCAAGCGUUAAUCGGAAUUACUGGGCGUAAAGCGCGCGUAGGUGGUUUGUUAAGUUGGAUGUGAAAGCCCCGGGCUCAACCUGGGAACUGCAUUCAAAACUGACAAGCUAGAGUAUGGUAGAGGGUGGUGGAAUUUCCUGUGUAGCGGUG
Molecule: ribosomal RNA, 585 nt
Filed under: Pseudomonas sp. StFRB010
Lineage: Bacteria; Pseudomonadati; Pseudomonadota; Gammaproteobacteria; Pseudomonadales; Pseudomonadaceae
Also listed under: 2 other names
Description: bacterial SSU rRNA
Rfam family: Bacterial small subunit ribosomal RNA
Source: RNAcentral